RNAcentral lists this ribosomal RNA (886 nucleotides) under Triticum aestivum (bread wheat). Its description in RNAcentral is "partial small subunit ribosomal RNA". Lineage: Eukaryota; Viridiplantae; Streptophyta; Magnoliopsida; Poales; Poaceae. The record is from RNAcentral.
GGGGCAGAGAGAACCGGGGAGUAAAAAAGAGAGGGGGUGGAACUAGGUUUAGACUGAGCCCGAGAGGGGAGCGAGGAGGGUACCUUGCUGACAGGUGGUAGCGCAGAGGAGUGGCGGGGUGGAGAGAGGGAAGUGAUGACGGGGUAGCUCGAUCGCAGGUUCCUGGCAUCGACGCCGGCACCGCCGGAACGGAUGCUCCUAGUAGGCUAGACGCUCGCGCUGGCGCCCUACCUGCCCCUCCUUUGCCGGCUGCCGCCUCUGCCUCCUCGUGCAGGUCGCGUAGGAGGACCGGUAGCGAUCGAAGCGGGUGUUCCCAGUCUCUCGGCACGGAGGUCGAUGAUCGUGACUUCAUUUAACUGCCACACACGUAAUCGAUUCACACGACGUACCUAAUCGAUGGAGGGAGAGACGGGGGCGGUUUUUUCGAUGGAGGGAGAGACGGGGGCGUUUUUUCGAUGGAGGGGUAGACGUACUCAACACACACGACGUACCUAAUCGACCUUACCUCUACUCCUAGAGACGUAACUGUGUUGUAUCACCUAAUUCGAGAAGGAAUAACAACACAAAAUAAAAAAAUAAAAAACAAAACCAAGAUCAAGAUAACUAAGUACGACUACAACAUGAUGAUACUAAAAGGGUAGUUAAUACGGCGUUCCCACCCUCCUGGUCCCCUCCCCUUGCGCUGUCUGAACCCAAGCAGCGGAAGGCUUAGUGGGACUCUCCUCGCUGCGCAGCGAAGUAUUGUGAUUUUGCCAAGUAGGUAAGUCACAAUAUGAUGAAGGUGUAUCUUUGAUAUCCUACAAAGAGAUUUUUUUGAUAUCCUACGUUUUGGUACUGUUUCCGUGAUUCGGCAGUGUAUUCUAACGACUUGACCUCGUUAAUGCGA